UAAUGUUAUGUAGUAAUUACUGUAUUUACGAAUUUAUCACAAUGUAUUGAAAACAUUGACUACAAAAAUGCCUUGGAUAAUCCAGAACGUUGGAUAAGUGAGUGUUGGAUAGGUGAGAAUCUACUGUAUUAGCAUAGCACAAUAUCAGCAUUAUCUAUUACUAUAUUUUACUAUACUGCAAUAUUAUUUGCAAUGUUACAUGUAAUAUGUAAUAUACAAUAGUGUAAUAUUAUAUUGUACUAGCUGUGCCCGGCCACGCGUUGCUGUGGCGAAGUCUGGUGGUCUGGGAAAUAAAGUAUUGAGGAACUGGUGGUAGUUAAGGUAAAGGGUAAACAUUUCCCCCUGACUCUGGGGGUUGGUGCUCAUCUCCAUUUCUAAGCCAAAGAGCCGGCGAGCAGUACCUAUUGAUGCACUCACAUGUUUUUGAACUUCUGGGUUGGCAGAAGCUGGGGCUAACAGUGGGGGCUCUCUCCGCUCCUCCCAAUUCAAACCUUUCGGUCCAGAAGUUCAGCAGCUCAGCGCUUUAACACGCUGCGCCAUCAGGGGAUAUUAUUUCCUAAAAGUUGUGAAUAUACAAUAUUUCUGAUUGUUUUUUUUUGUCUGUUGGAGGCAAGAAUGAAUGCUGCAGUUAGGAAAAAUGAUUAGGAUGUAAUGGCCUUGCUGGAUUAUAUGAGGCCCCUUCUUCACAGCUGUAUAAAAUGCACACUGAAGUGGAUUAUAUGGUAGUGUGGAGUCAAGAUAAUCCAGUGCAAAGCAGAUAACAUAAAAUUAUAAAUGGGUUAUAUAGCUGUGUGGAAGGGCCUUGAGUCUACACUGCCAUAUAAUCCAGUGCAAAUUAGAUAAUCUGUGGAAGAGGCCUAAGUGAGGCCUAAGUCUGCCUGUCCCCUCGGCUGAGUCAGUUGCUAGGAGACCAAGUGGGCAGAGAUUAGCCUUCUAACUGGCAGCAAUUGGAUAAAAAUAAUUAUUCCUUUCCCUCUAAUUAGGACUUUAUUUUUCUUUUCUUUUUCUUGUAUCAACCUAGAGGCGUGGAUGAUGGGUUGUGUUGUCAAAUUUUGAGGUUGGGGGCCCUGUAGUUUUGUUGUUUUGUCGGUCGCGUGAUGCCAGACUAGCUGUGCCCGGCCACACGUUGCGGUGGCGUUGUCUGGUGGUGUUGGUGAGAAAUUGUUGAGGUAGUGGUGGUAUUGAAUGUCUGUUGUAUGGUUGUCUUUAUGUUGAGUAUGCAUUUGGUUGUUUGUGUACUGUGAAAGUGGUGAGGAUAGAGGUGGUCUAUGUCCCUGUGUAGUAUUGUAUAGUAUUUAUACGUUGUGCAUGUGUUGUGAAUGCUUGUAUUGUGUCCUGCUGCAUAGUAGAAAGGGUUGGGCUGGAUGGCCCUUAGGGGUCUCUCCAAAUUCUUGUGCCUGUCCCCUGGGCUGAAUAGGUUGCUAGGAGACCAAGUGGGUGGAACUUAGCCUUGUAACUGGCAGCAAUUGGAUAAAAACAAUUAUUCCUCUUCCUCUAAUUAGGAUUUUAUUUUUCUUUUCUUUUUGUUGUAUCAACCUAGAGGCGUGGAUGAUGGGUUGUGUUGUCAAAUUUCGAGGUUGGGGGGCCUGUAGUUUUGUUGUUUUGUCCGCUGCCCUGAUGCCAUCACUCUUUUAUAUAUAUAGAUUACAUUAUAAUAUACAUAUAUACUAUAAUCUAUUAUUAACAUAGCAUAGUAUCAGCAUUAUCCAUCUAUUACUAUUUUGUACAAGGAGCCUUCGGUGGCCUAGUGGAUUUGAAUCCCAACCGGGGAGAGCGCGGAUGAGCUCCCUCUAUCAGCUCCAGCUCCAUGCGGGGACAUGAGAGAAGCUUCCCACAAGGAUGGUAAAAAUAUCAAAACAUCCGGGCAACGUCCCCUGGGCAACGCCCUUGCGGACGGAAUAUAAUACUAGCUGUGCCCGGCCAUGCGCUGUGGCGAAGUCUGGUGGUAUGGGAAAUAAAGUAUUGAGGAAUUGGUGGUAGUUAAGGUAAAGGGUAAAGGUUUUUCCCUGAGUCCAGUCGUGUCCGACUCUGGGGGUUGGUAUUCAUCUGCAUUUCUAAGCUGAAGAGCCGGCGUUGUCCAUAGACUCCUCCAAGGUCAUGUGGGAUGAGUGCAUGGAGCAGCGUUACCUUCCUGCCGGAGCAGUACCUAUUGAUGCACUCACAUUUGCAUGUUUUCGAACUUUUGGAUUGGCAGAAGCUGGGGCUAACAGUGGGGGCUCUCUCUGCGCCCCCAAUUCAAACUUUCAGUCCAGAAGUGAGACUCUACUGUAUAUUGAUAAUCUUAUAUUAUCUGCUUAGAACUGGAUUAUAUGAGGCCCCUUCUACAUAGCUGUAUAAAAUGCACACUGAAGUGGAUUAUAUGGCAGUGUGGAGUCAAGAUAAUCCAGUGCAAAGCAGAUAAUAUAAGAUUAUAACUGGGUUAUAUAGCUGUGUGGAAGGGCCUUGAGUCUACACUGCCAUAUAAUCCAGUGCAAAUUAGAUAAUCUGUGGAAGAGACCUAAGUGAGGCCUAAAUCUGCCUGUCCCCUAACUGAACCCUGGCUGUGCUUGGCUGAAUUGGUUGCUAGGAGACGAAGUGGGCAGAGAUUAGCCCUCUAAACUGGCAGCAAUUGGAUAAAAACCAAUUAUUGCUCUCCCUCUAAUUAGGACUUUAUUUUUCUUUUUUUGUUGUUGUUGUAUCUUACUGGAGCCGUGGAUGAUGGGUUGUGUUGUCAAAUUUCGAGGUUGGGUGGCCUGUAGUUUUGUUGUGUUGUGGGUUGCCCUGAUGCCAUCACUCUUUUAUAUAUAUAGAUUUAUUUACAAGCUUUGGGGCAUGCAUUUGCCCAAGGAAGAAAUGCAAGCAAAGCCCUCCUAAAAACAACUUUGGCCUCUUUUCUCCUGCCCUUUCCCACCUCUUUUAUUAAUCCCUUUUCAAACUCUAAAAGUAGCCAGAAAAGGCUUUUUAAAACUUCCCUUCCUCUCCCAAAAAACCCACCCCAUUUUUGUUUCCUUAAGAAUAAAAAGAAAUACACACCUUCUGUUCCUCUCCUUUCCCUCCCUAUUGACUCAAACAUUCUUGCAAUAAUAGUAAUAAUAAUAAUAAUAAUAAUAAUAAUAAUAAUAAUAAUAAUAAAUCCUGCAAAUUUGCAAGAGUCUCUCUUUUUCUUCCCCUUGCACCCAUGCAAUCUUUUUCUUCUUCCUGGCUUGCAAGAGGCUCUCACUCACUCUUCUUUCGCUUUUGAAAACAUUCUCUUCUUGUUUCUCUCUCUCUUAAAAAAUAAGAUCACUCCAGCCUGGGAGGAGAAGCGGAGGAGGGAGGUUUUGGAAAAGAAAACAUACUGUAGUCUCCAGGCUCCACUGCCUGGCUUGACCUUGACCCGAUUAUAAGCCGGGGGAGGCUCUUUCAGCUCAUAAAUAAGGACUGAAAAACUCGGCUCAUCUUCGAGUAUAUAUGGACAAGAGAGUUCUCUGGAGCCACCCCUGCCGUGAUGGGAAACAAACCAGCUUCUAGUCGAUAUUAAGGCAUUUGGAAACCAAAGUGCAGUAAGGAAACCAGUCCUCUAGGAAAAAGGAUUCCUCUCAAGGGGCUGAUCCUGCUGAAUUCCUACAUUCACUUUGGAUUAUAGAGUAGAACCAUAGAGUCGGAAGAGACUGCAUGAGGCACCCAGUCCAGGCCUCUGCCGUGCAGGAAAAGUGCAAAGUGCCCCUGACAGAUGAGCAUCUGACCUCUGUUUAAAAGAUUCCAGAGGAGCCUCCACUACAUUUUGAGGCAGAGAGUUCCACUGCUGAACAGCUCUAACAGUCAGUAAGUUCUUAAUGUUCAGAUGGAAUCUACUUUCCUGUAAUUUGAACCCACUGUUGUGAGUAAUCAGAAAGGGAAAAACAAGAAUCAAGUGUCCUUAUUGGACUUAAAUAUACAUAACACUGCUGACAUGGAGGAGAAUGCAUAUAAAUGUAUCGAAUGUGGAAAGAGCUUUAGUCAGCAUGGAAAGCUGAAGAGACAUCAAAGGAGUCACACUGGGGAGAAACCCUAUACAUGCCUGGAGUGUGGACAGAGCUUUACUCAGAAGGGAAACUUACAAAGACAUCAAAGGACUCACACGGGGGAGAAACCCUAUACAUGCCUGGAGUGUGGACAGAGCUUUACUCGUAGUUCAAGUCUAUGUUCACAUCAAAGGACUCACAUGGGGGAGAAACCUUAUAAUUGCCUGGUGUGUGGACAGAGCUUUACUCGUAGUUCAAGUCUUCAUUCUCAUCAAAGGACUCACACGGGGGAGAAACCCUAUAUCUGCCUGGAGUGUGGACAGAGCUUUGCUCGUAGUUCAGGACUACGUUCCCAUCAAAGGACUCACACUGGGAGAAACCCUAUACAUGCCUGGAGUGUGGACAGAGCUUUGCUCAUAGUUCAGGUCUACGUUCACAUCAAAGGACUCACACUGGGGAGAAACCCUAUAAAUGCCUGGAGUGUGGACAGAGCUUCAGUGAUUUUUCAAUUCUACGUUCACAUCAAAGGACUCACACUGGGGAGAAACCAUAUAAAUGCCUGGAGUGUGGACAGAGCUUUACUCAGAGGGCAGGUCUACAUUCCCAUCAGAGGACUCACACUGGGGAGAAACCCUAUAAAUGCCUAGAGUGUGGACAGAGCUUCACUCAGAGCUCAGGUCUAUGUUCACAUCAAAGGACUCACACUGGGGAGAAACCCUAUAACUGCCUGGAGUGUGGACAGAGCUUUACUCGUAGUUCAGGUCUACGUUUGCAUCAAAGGACUCACACUGGGGAGAAACUGUAGAAAUGCAUGGAGUGUGGACAGAGCUUUUCAUGAAAAAACAUUAUACAUAGACAUCAUAGAAUUCACCCUGGAGAGAAUGGUGUUAAUUGACCCCAGAGUGUCAUUCUAACACGUAGAAAAGCAACUCUUGCAAAUUUUGGAAAUGAAAGCUCAAAGUUGGGACAUUUCAUCACAUGUGAGGUAUUCUAGAAAGAUUGAACUAAAAUACAGUGUUGCCUCACCUAUCGCGAGGGUUAGGUUCCAGGACCAGCUGCAAUAAGUGAAAAUCCGCGAAGUUGGGAUGCUAUAUAUUUAUACAUUAUUUUAGUAGUUAUACACUAUUUUAAGUCUUUAUAAACAAACUAGCUGUGCCCAGCCACGCGUUGCUGUGGCGAAGUAUGGUGGUAUGGGAAAUAAAGUAUUGUUGAAUUGGUGGUACAGUAGAGUCUCACUUAUCCAACAUUCUCUUAUCCAACGUUCUGGAUUAUCCAACGCAUUUUGUAGUCAAUGUUUUCAAUACAUUGUGAUAUUUUAGUGCUAAAUUCAUAAAUACUGUAAUUACUAUGUACCAUUAUUGCGUAUUGAACUACUUUUUCUGUCCAAUUUGUUGUAUAACAUGAUGUUUUGGUGCUUAAUUUGUAAAAUCAUAACUUAUUUGGUGUUUAAUAGGCUUCUCAUUAAUCUCUCCUUGUUAUCCAACAUAUUCGCUUAUCCAACGUUUUGCCGGCUCGUUUAUGUUGUAUAAGUGAGACUCUACUGUAGUUAAAGGUAAAGGGUAAAGGUUUUUCUGUGAAAUUAAGUCCAGUCGUGUCUGAGUCUGGGGGUUGGUGCUCAUCUGCAUUUGUAAGACGAGGAGCUGGCGUUGUCCGUAGACUCCUCCAAGGUCAUGUGGCUGGCAUGACUGCAUGGAGCGCUGUUACCUUCCCGCCGGAGUAGUACCUAUUCAUGUAUUCCCAUUUGCAUGUUUUCAAACUUCUGGGUUGGCAGAAGCUGGGGCUAACAGUGGUUGCUCUCUCCGCUCCCCCAAUUCAAACCUGUGGCCUUUUGGUCCAGAAGUUCAGUAGCUCAGAGUGGUGUUGUUUGUGAUACUUUAUGUGCUUGUGCUGUCUGUGGCCCUCAGAAAACAGGAUUUGCCAGAGUUUGGUGAUGGGAAUAGUUUGUUGGGAGGUGUUAGGUGGUCCUGAUUGUUUCCUGGAUGGAAUUCCUGUGUUUUUAGAGUGUUGCUCUUUAUUUACUGUUCUGAGAUGAGAGCGUGAUGAGCACGGAAUGGCCUUACACCUUCAAAGCCUGGGUGCUUCCCUCUCUGAGGGGGCGGGAAGGCUUUGCUGGGAGGUGUUAGGUGGUCCAGAUUGUUUACUGGAUGGGAAUUCCUGUGUUUUUAGAGUGUUGCUCUUUAUUUACUGUCCUGAGAUGAGAGAGUGAUGAGCACGGAAUGGCCUUGGACCUUCAAAGGCUGGCUGCUUCCCUGCCGGGGGGGGGGGAGGAUUCUUUGUUGAGCAGCCAGGCCUUGCAGUUGUGAGGGGAGGAAAGGAAAUGGGCCGUUACUUGUUUGGUGAGUCCGGUGGCGGGGGGGGGGGAGUUUAAAAGGGAUCUUCCGUGGGUUUUGAGUAGUUUUUUCAUUGGGUAGGUCCCUGAGGGGGGGGCAUUUUGAACCCACCUUGCUACUCCUGAGAAGUAUUAGGCUGUGGGAUGGUGGGGAGGAUGGCGACAGUGUCUGAGGGGGGGGGGGGGGAAGGAGUGUGCGCGGGAGCGGCCGUUGGAGGGAGGGGUGUGGAUUGCUGUGUGUGCACGCGGGCUGGCCUCUUGGGCAUGCGCAGAUGGAGCAUUCCGGUUUUUGGGUUUUUUUUGGCCCCAUGGAGGUUUGGGAUGUGUAGUUUGUUUGUAAGAACGUAGAGACGUGGAUGAGGGGUUGUGUUGUCAAUUUCCUAGGUUGGGGGGGCCUUUCGUUUUGUUGUUUUGCUCGGUGGAGCGAUGCCAUUCUCCUUUUAUAUAUACAGAUAGCGUGUUGAUAAAUCACCUCCUUCUCCCAUUGCUGCCUGGGCUCCUUUUCUCUCCCUUCAGCUUCACCUUCCUCCCUUCCUUAGGCUGUAAAUUGUAAUUUUUUUAUGAUUUAUAAUAGUCUUUGAGAGUUUAUUGAAAAACCACGAAACAGCGAAUCCGCAAACAGUGAACCGCGAAGUAGUGAGGGAACUCUGUGUGUUCCAUUCUGGAAAUAAUUACGGUAUAUUAUCUAAAGGGAGUAGAAUAAUGAGAAAUAAAAAUUAACAGAUAGAAUGAGGCUUUUGGGUACGUGUUCACGUCUGUUUGUUAGUUCAGUUGUGUGUCUAGGUAAGUAACUGUUUCGCUGGUCUGUUUGUUUCUGAUUUAGUUUUGUAUCUCAUGUAGUAGUUAAUUUCAUGGGUAGUUGAAGCAUUAUAUAUAAUUUCUGCCUUUUUGUAUUGUUGCUUUUAAUCUCCCUUUUUGGAUUUUUUAUUUGCAACAAAGAGGGGGAUUUAUAAGGGUCAAAACUGCUGAAACUGGAGGGGUUGGUAGACCUGUUUUUGGCCCAAAAUGGGGUUUAAUGUUUAAUCUAGAGCGCCUUUGAACAUCAUUGCCUUCUUCAGUGUUGGUGGCAUGGGUUUGGAUUCCGUUGUCUUGCUUCAGACAUUAUUAUUCCUAUUAUGCUUUAUACAACAUGUAUUCACUGCUUUAAUCACCAUCUGUCCUUUUUAACUAUCUUGUCUAUCCCCAAACCCUUCCAGUAUGUUCUUUUGGUCAUCAGGGUUGUGUGUGCUAAGUUUGGUCCACAUCCAUCAUUGGUGGGCUCUCUGGAUGCAGGGCGAACUACAACUCCCACACGGGUGGGUCAGUCCCCAAAACCCUCCUGUAUGUUCUGUUGUUCCUGGGGUUUCUGUGUGCCAGGUUUGGUCCUGAUCCGUCAUUGGUGGGCGUUGCAGAUCCAACGUUGGCUGGAUUCAGUGCUCUCUGGAUAAGGGUGAACUACGACUCCCACAUGCCAAGGUCAAUCACUCCCAAACCUCACCUGUAUGCACAGCUGGCCAUGUUGGGUCUGUGUGCCAAGUUUGGUCGUUGGCUUGUUUUGUUCUGGACCCAAAGGGUUCCUGUUCUUUGGAUGCCGAGUGUUCAGGGAAGAGUGAGGUCUGUGAGAUCCAGGAGGCCCUUCAGAGACCACGUCUGGUUGCUUUGCUGGGAAGUCAUGCAAACACGUUCGCACAAACGGGAAGGUUGGAAGAUUUGGUUCAUACAGAUUUUAAGUUAAUAACUUUUAAAAAAUAGAAGAUAAAAUUUGUAUACUUGAAUUAUUAAGUCUGGAGUUGAAAACAUGACACAAUUCAGACAAUGGUUUGUGGCACAACAACAACACUUCUAGUAGUCAACGGGAUAUUCUGGAUGCCUUAUUUUAUGUCAAGUAAGAUAUUGUGCUCAGAAACAAAGAUUUAUAAAGGAAGCACCACAAUGGAUAUAAUACAAUGGGAAGCACGGGAAGUAGAUCACAUGUGCCCACCACACCUCACACAGAUAGGACCACGUGUGCUAUAAACAUGGAAGAUGGUACAUGUAGGUUACCCAUAACAUGGGUAAUGGAAUACAUUCACACAAGAGACAGGAAUGGGAUGUCUUUGUGUUACUGCUGUUCAGCUAAUGUUAUGGUCUGAUGGAAAUAUAAUAGAACCUGAUAAACAAAAAAUUGGUUGAAAUGUAAAUGUAACAUAAACUUUGUUCAAGAUGAUGAAACUGGGAAUUUGAUGUACGUGAUAGAAAAUGGAGACAAACUCCAUCACUGGUUAAAGUGUGUCAUAUUGGGCAAAUUUGCUCUCUAGGUGCAUCUUCGUAGUAGUAGUUCACUAGCUGCCGGGUGAACUACAGCUCCCACCAUGGUGGUCAGUUCCCCCCAAACCCCUCCAGUAUAUUUAGUUAGUCUUGGUGGUUCUGUGUGCCACGUUUGGUCCCGGUCUAUUGUCGGUGGUGGUCCCAGUGUCUCUGGAUGCAGGUGAACUAUAAAUCCCAGUGUCUACAACUCCCAAAGGCCCGCCCAAAGCCUACCAGUCUUCCAAAUUGGCCAUAUCGGGUACGCUUGCCAGGGAUAUCCGCACCAGGCUUAUCUUACCUUUGAUACACAAGCACCCAGGCCGUUCAGGACACUUUUAUACCUCCCUGCUACUUGUAGAUACUCAUUUAGCUACAACCGACAAUGUUGCAAAGUUUUGUGCGUACAAAGUCCGCCAGGGGAUGAUGGUCCCAAAAGUGACCCAUGUCUCCAGUGAUCCUCUCUCUUGGUUCUAUAACUGGCUGAUGGACCUCUGCAUUGUAUGUUUUGCCCCGUUUCCCCUUCCGCUCCUCACCCCUCCCCCCCCCCCCCCCCCCGGUUAUUGUGCUUUAAUGUCUUUAUAUUUUAAAUGUACUAAACAUACCAAGUUUGUAUGUAACUGUGACCUUUAUUUCCUGUGCUGGUCUAUGACUGAAAUAAAUGAUAUGAUUUGAAAUUUGCAGAUCCAUUGUUGUUUGCAUUCACAGUGCUCUCUGUAUGUAGGUGAACUAUAAUUCCUAUAAAUCAAGGUGACUUUCCCCCAAAUCCCUCCUGCAUUUGUGUUGGUCAUGGGGGUUCUGUGUGCUAAGUUAGGCUCAGGGCCAUCCUUGGUGGAGUCCAGAGUGCUUUUUGAUUGUGGGUGAACUAUAAAUCCCAGUACGUCAAGGUGAAUUCCCCCACAAACCCCUCCAGCAUUUUCCUUUGGUCAUUAGUCAUCACUGGUUAAAGUGUGUCAUAUUGGGCAAAUGUGCUCUCUAGGUGCAUCAUCGUAGUAGCAGUAGUUCAUUAGCUGCCGGGUGAACUACAGCUCCCACCAUGGUGGGUCAGUUCCCCCCAAACCCCUCCAGUAUAUUUAGUUAGUCAUGGUGGUUCUGUGUGCCACGUUUGGCCCCGGUGUAUUGUUGGUGGUGGUCCCAGUGUCUCUGGAUGCAGGUGAACUAUAAAUCCCAGUAUCUACAACUCCCAAAGGCCCGCCCAAAGCCUACCAGUCUUCCAAAUUGGCCAUAUCGGGUAGACCUGUGCAUUGUAUGUUUUUGCCCUGUUUCCCCUUCCGCUCCCCCCCCCCACCCAAUUGUGCUUUAGUAUCUUAGUACAUUUUAUCUUUAGUACAUUUUAAAUGUACUAAACGUACCAAGUCUGUAUGUAACUGUGACCUUUAUUUCCUGUGCUGGUCUAUGACCGAAAUAAAUGAUGUGAUUUGAAA
This is a long non-coding RNA of Anolis carolinensis (green anole), 9977 nucleotides long. RefSeq lists it as uncharacterized. The transcript is spliced from 2 exons. The record is from RefSeq and is a predicted model, not a curated record. Lineage: Eukaryota; Metazoa; Chordata; Lepidosauria; Squamata; Anolidae.